GACGAACGCUGGCGGCGUGCUUAACACAUGCAAGUCGAACGAUGAAGCGGGUGCUUGCACUCGUGGAUUAGUGGCGAACGGGCGAGUAACACGUGAGUAACCUGUCCUUUUCUUUGGGAUAACGGCUGGAAACGGCUGCUAAUACUGGAUAUUCAGGCCGCAUCGCAUGGUGUGGUUUGGAAAGGUUUUUUCUGGGAUUGGGUGGGCUCGCGGCCUAUCAGCUUGUUGGUGGGGUGAUGGCUUACCAAGGCUUUGACGGGUAGCCGGCCUGAGAGGGUGGUCGGUCGCACUGGGACUGAGAUACGGCCCAGACUCCUACGGGAGGCAGCAGUGGGGAAUAUUGCACAAUGGACGAAAGUUUGAUGCAGCGACGCCGCGUGGAGGGUGUAGGCCUUCGGGUUGUGAACUCCUUUUUCUCGCGAAAAAGGCACAGUUUUGGCUGUGUUGAUGGUAGUGGGGGAAGAAGCGCCGGCUAACUACG
Molecule: ribosomal RNA, 481 nt
Filed under: uncultured bacterium
Lineage: Bacteria
Description: partial 16S ribosomal RNA
Rfam family: Bacterial small subunit ribosomal RNA
Source: RNAcentral